This 391-nucleotide ribosomal RNA is filed under the name uncultured bacterium. RNAcentral describes it as "bacterial SSU rRNA". It matches the Rfam family "Bacterial small subunit ribosomal RNA", at positions 29 to 422 of the family's 1533-position model. The record is from RNAcentral.
AUUGAACGCUGGCGGCAUGCCUUACACAUGCAAGUCGAACGGCAGCACGGGAGCAAUCCUGGUGGCGAGUGGCGAGCGGGUGAGUAAUAUAUCGGAACGUGCCCAGUGAUGGGGGAUAGCCCGGCGAAAGCCGGAUUAAUACCGCAUACGACCUACGGGUGAAAGCAGGGGAUCGCAAGACCUUGCGUCAUUGGAGCGGCCGAUAUCAGAUUAGCUGUUGGUGGGGUAAAAGCCUACCAAGGCGACGAUCUGUAGCUGGUCUGAGAGGACGACCAGCCACACUGGGACUGAGACACGGCCCAGACUCCUACGGGAGGCAGCAGUGGGGAAUUUUGGACAAUGGGCGCAAGCCUGAUCCAGCCAUGCCGCGUGCGGGAAGAAGGCCUGGUGU